This is an RNA transcript of Setaria italica (foxtail millet), 5170 nucleotides long. It is a transcript of the gene named putative disease resistance protein RGA3, with no coding region annotated. The transcript is spliced from 4 exons. NCBI's taxonomy places the organism in Eukaryota, Viridiplantae, Streptophyta, Magnoliopsida, Poales, Poaceae. The record is from RefSeq and is a predicted model, not a curated record.
UAGUCCUCACGAGUCACGACACGCCUGUCUUUGAGGUAGACCCACCCUUUCCCUUUCUCUAUCCUCAACCUAAAUUCUCCAUUCUCCAGAUCUUGCAAGAAGGAUGAAGAUGGAAGAGAAUGGAUGGUCUCUGCCAGCAGCCAUCAGCAGGAUGGUCGGGAAGCUGCGAUUCUAUCUGGGAAACAGCAGUGAUUCAAGCAAGUUUAAGGGCACCAUGAAGAUGCUCGAUUUGUUGGAGGAGAAGCUCAUGAUCCUCCAAGACAAGAAUCUGCAGCGCGUCAGUACAGACAGAGAAGAAGAGAUGGGUGCGUGGCUACUGCAGGUGAAGGAGGCUGCAGAUGACGCAGAAGAGCUGGUCAAGGACAUGGAGAGCGGUGAGUCUGCAAUUCCUGAUGUCAUGACUUGGUUCCGUUCUGAUAGCAGUAACCUCCUCAGAAUGAAAUAUACCAUCGGCAGACUUGUUAGCGUGUUCACUGAAGGUGAAUCCCUUCUUGGCAUGCCUAACCUGGAUGAGGAUGUCCUGGAAAGCAUGCGGAAUGAUAGUGCUUCGUCAACUCCUGAUCAUGUCUAUGUUGUUGGUCGGGAUAAGGAAAUAGCUAUGAUAUUGGAUAUGGUAUUGGAGGAUGCUCGUUUUAAGGUGGUGACGUCACUUGAAAGCUGGGCAAGUGCUGACACCUUACAAAUUUCUCAGAAAGGAUGGAUCAUUGAGACCCUCCAAAACAUCAAUCCAUCUCAGCAGAGACAUGAAGAUGCAGAAGUAUCACCUUACCCAAAAGAAAUGGGUGGCACCAUAGAAUAUACCCAGGUGUGCAAUAAUACUGUUAGUGAACUGAUGAACCCUAUGAUCAUUCCGAUGGUUGGAAUUAGCGGGGUUGGUAAAACAACCCUUGCGCAGCACAUUUUCAAUGACAAAAGGAUCCAGAAGCACUUUCAGGGUCAAUCUGCAUGGAUCUAUUGUACUGACAACAUCAGAAAGGAAGAAUUGAUGACAAAGAUCUUGGUAUCUUUGCAGCCUCAACAUAAGAUUCUAGAUGUUGGGUUCGAUCUGAACAGCCUCCACAAUCAACUUCAGAGUUUCAUAGAAGGAAAGAGGUUUUUUAUUGUACUUGAUGAUGUGUCUGAUGACAUCCGUGCAGUAUGGGGUGAUGUAAGAAGUGUACUAAGCAGAGGUGCACCUGGAAGUGUUAUCUUAGUGACAACCCGACUGUAUGGUGUGGCCAGCAUUAUGGGGACAACAGCUCCAAUUUUUUUGAAUCCUCUACAGUAUGAUGACUUGUGGAAAAUUUUUAAGCAUCAUGCAUUUUUCGGUAAUCAAAGUACAGAAGCCCUGGAGUCAAUUGGGAGAAAAAUUGCUAAAAAAUUACAUGGACUUCCUUUAGCAGCAAUAAUGGUCGCGGUAUCAUUGAGAAAUUGUUUAGAUGAAGUGCACUGGAAUAUACUUUUAAAGAGCUGGUGGUGGAGUGUUUCAAGUAACAGUUUGGGCAUCCACAUUGCAGCUUCUCUUGGGGUCUGUUAUUGUGAAUUACCUGCAUAUUUGAGGCAGUGCUUGGUUUAUUGCUCGAUAUUUCCUAGGAAUUAUAUAUUUGGAAAAUAUGAGUUGAUCCAAAUGUGGAUAGCUAAUGGUUUCGUGGAGCUAUACAACACUACUGGUCCCAGAAGUUUGGAGGAUGUAGCUGCUGAAUGGUUUGAUGAACUUGUUAAUAGGUGCUUUCUGCAACCUACAUUUUGGGAACUCCGAUAUGUUAUGCAUGAUUUGGUUAGAGAUUUUGCAAUUGCCCUAACUUCUAAUGAGCAUCGUGCUGGUGAUUGUGAGCUGGUAGAUCUUCCACAAAGUAUCCGCCAUUUAUCCAUAAAUAUGCAUAAUAUGAACGUGUCAUGGGGAGACUAUAACAUUAAAAAUUUGCGAUCACUAAUGUUGUUUGGCGGGUUAUGUGACAGCAGCUCUAGUGAAUGCUACACCACUGUUGAUAGCCUUCUGGAGAGGUCUUAUGGCACCGUUGAUCGCCUUUCAGAGAUAUCCUAUGACAAUGUUGAUAGCAUUUCUGAGGGGUGUUCUGAUGCAAUUGAUAAUGAACAUGCUGACAUCAGUUUCAAGAGAUCUUGUGUGAAUAUUGGAAGUAUUUUAAGAAGAUCAACAAGCCUGCGCUUAUUGAACUUGUCUAACAUGAUGCCCAAUGCUGCAACAACAUGCUUUGAUAACCAUCUACUUGUUGAAGAUCAUGUUGCAGCAUUUGCGAGGUUUAUUGCAAGACAUCACAUGCUGCCGCAUUUGACUCACCUCAGAUACUUAGAUUUUUCAUACAGUGGGAUUACUGAACUUCCUGAUACAUUAUGUACCUUGUGCAAUCUCCAGGUUCUUGGCUUGCGGAGCUGUAGAUUCACACAGUUACCAGGAAGCAUGAACUCAUUAAUUAGCCUGAGACACUUACAUGCAGAUGCAGAUACAAUCGCUCUAAUUCAUGGCAUUGGAGGGCUCACAAAGCUCCAAGAUUUGCAAGAAUUCCGUGUUAAAGCAGAGGAUGGCCACAGAAUAACUGAGUUAAGGGACAUGAGGUACAUUGAAGGUUCCCUUUGUAUAUCAGAUCUUCAGAGGGUGGCCAAUCAAACAGAGGCAAGUCAGGCUAACUUAUCCAGAAAGGAAGGUAUUAUUUGUUUACAUCUAAAAUGGGACAUAAACCAAUGUUUGAGGGGUAAAUAUAACCAUUUCGGAAGGGAGUUGAGUCAGUAUGCUAAAGGUCAAAAAGAACUACUUCAUGCUAGCUCACUUCAGAAGAAUUAUAUGGCUUCAGAUAUUUCAGGAUCAGUUGUGAAUCCAUCAGAGGUAUCUACACCUGAUCAAGCCAUCGACAUACUACAAUGUUUGACACCACCUAGGAAUUUGCAAAAGCUGAAAAUUUUUGGGUACCCAGGGUGUUCUUUUCCAGACUGGGUGCAAUGCCUCAGGUAUAUCCAAGUUAUUGAGAUAAGCCACUGCAUAGAACUGCAAGUACUUCCGCCUAUAGGACAGCUGGAGCAUCUAAAGAAAUUGAAGUCAUAUGAGUUGCCUUCCAUAAAAGAUGUCAAUUCUGAUGUAUAUGGAAGCUCAAAUGUGGUCUUUCAAUCUUUGGAGGAGCUGACUUUUGGAUCCAUGGUGAAAUGGGAAAACUGGGCAGAUGCAGAGAAUAGAGAAUUAUUUCCAAACCUGCAAAAGCUGCAGAUAAAUAGAUGCUACAACCUGAGGAGACUACCUUUUAUGGCCUUGAGCAUAGCUAUCAAAGAACUUUCACUUUCAGGUUGUGGUUCAUAUUCUGGUACGGUAUCAAGUUAUUUGCAUCGGUUAACUUGUCUCACACAUUUAAAGGUAAAUGAUUGCUCACAAAAGUUAACCCUUCCAUGUCAAAAACUGGUAUCACUAGAAUACUUGCACCUUUCAAAUUGUAAGGAGCUCUGCUUUGAGGGUGGAAUUCUUUGUAUGAACAAUUUGAAAGCACUACAUAUUUCCAGCUGCCACUUAGUCAGGUUAUCCCUAGAAGAAGAGCUCACUCGCCUGCUCUCGGGUUGGGCAUCAAUGUUCGGAGAAGAGCAGGCACUUGUUCUUAAAACCACUAUUCUUCAGAUAGUCAAAGAGGCAGGCAUGAAAAGUAGGGAUAUCCACCUUCCCGUUUCUGCUGUAGCUGGAUUAUCCAAAAAAUCAGACAGAAAAAGGAGAGAUACACAACAUAAACAAGAGCACAUUCACGUUAUGCAGUCUCUCACUGACCUUACAAUGGAUAACCUUUCCCAGUCUCUAAAUCUCGAUAAUAUCCUUUGCAAGCUUUCAACACUCCGUACUCUAUGUCUUUACAAGGUUCAUAAUAUAUCUGUUCUUCAAGAACAGUGGCUUGAGCAAAUUAAGUCCCUACAGGAGCUGGAGUUUCAUAGUUGCUACCUACUCAGGAAGCUCCCAUCGAAUUUGGCCGCUUUGUCAUCCUUGAAGAAGUUGAGUCUACAGUCAUGUUCCCAAAUUCACUCACUACCAUCGAAAGGUCUACCAUGGAACCUAAAGGAAUUGCAGAUGCUAGGUUGCUCACCUAUGCUAGAGGCACGAUGCCAGAAGGAAGAUGGAGAGAUAUGGGUGAAGAAGAAGAUACAGGAACAGCAGAAGCGGACAGUUCUGGCAAAUGAGUUCUGGCAAGGAUGGCAGGAGUACGAGGAACAGUUGGUCCAAUGUGCGGGUGAGCAGCAGAAGAAUAAGGGAGAGUGGUUGAUGAAUGAAGAAGAGGACUGGCUGAAGCAGCAUAGUGCGGUAGAGCCAGUAAGUAAUGUAGACGUGUGGCUCAAGGCAACAGGAGAAGACUGGCCAAAGAUUGCUCACAUUCCGUAUAUCCGUGUGAAUGGAGAUAUCAUACAGAAUCUUUAUCUCUGAAGCUGCAGAUUCACAAAAUCUGUGUUAACUGUUAAGGUCGUUUGUGCUGAAAACUGAGAAGGAGAUUGAUAAAAGGCGAAAGAAUAGUUCUCUCUGUGCGCACCGCGCAGCUCUCCUGCCGGUUCGUUUCAAAAAAGAAGAGGAGGAGAUUGAUACAUAACAGGCUUAUAUUCUUCAGGUGGUAUUUGAAAUUGAAAAAUUAUGGGGGUGGCUUUGCUCAAGAGAGACACGGUGGCCACAUCGGAUCGGCUUCAGUUCAUAUAACUUGCAUGAAAAUUUUGUAACAGGUUGAACACUGCAAGGAUGUGCGAUUGUCGCGGAGAUCGACGAUCUCUUUUUCUAAACAGAACAACCACGAAUCAAGUCCUGUUCAAGGUAGCCAUUGCGUGAAUCAAGUGCAGAUCAGGUUCAGUUAACGCCCGGGGUCGAAGAUUUGGUGACUUGGAAAUGGGAUAGCUCUGGUUCUUACUCCUCUAAAUCGGUAUGCAAGUUCUUCUACAGCACCUCCAUCAAGUUUGCCGCAGCGGAACCGAUUUGGAAGGCUUGGGCACCAUUGAAAGUGAAGGUAUUCAUGUGGUUAGCUGUUAAGAAUCGGCUCUGGACAGCUGCUAGGAGGCAGAGACGAGGAUUGCAAGAUCAUGUGUGUUGUGGCCUGUGUGACCAGGAGUCAGAGACUACAGAUCACCUCUUCUCUAGGUGCCCUUUCUCUAUGCAUGUGUGGCAUCGAGUCGGUGCAGUAUUGAACCUGCACAAUGCCAUCCCGGCAAAUAAAGUCGGACUGCUAGA